Molecule: ribosomal RNA, 460 nt
Filed under: uncultured bacterium
Lineage: Bacteria
Description: partial 16S ribosomal RNA
Rfam family: Bacterial small subunit ribosomal RNA
Source: RNAcentral
CCUACGGGGGGCAGCAGUGAGGAAUAUUGGUCAAUGGGCGCGAGCCUGAACCCGCCAAGUAGCGUGAGGGAAGACGGUCCUAUGGAUUGUAAACCUCUUUUGUACGAGGGUAAACCCCGAUACGUGUAUCGGGUUGAAAGUAUCGUACGAAUAAGGAUCGGCUAACUCCGUGCCAGAAGCCGCGGUAAUACGGAGUAUCCGAGCGUGAUCCGGAUUUAUUGGGUUUAAAGGGUGCGUAGGCGGUUUGAUAAGUUAGAGGUGAAAUGUCGGGGCUCAACCCCGAAACUGCCUCUAAUACUGUUGGACUAGAGAAUAGUUGCGGUAGGCGGAAUGUAUGGUGUAGCGGUGAAAUGCUUAGAGAUCAUACAGAACACCGAUUGCGAAGGCAGCUUACCAAACUAUAUCUGACGUUGAGGCACGAAAGCGUGGGUAGCAAACAGGAUUAGAUACCCCAGUAGUC